GGAAGUAAAAGUCGUAACAAGGUUUCCGUAGGUGAACCUGCGGAAGGAUCAUUAUCGUUGGGCUCCUGCCCAUUCGAGAUAACACCCUUGCCUUUUUGAGUACCUUUUCGUUUCCUCGGCAGGCACGCCUGCCAACGGGGACCCUUCAAAACGCUUUGUAAUACCUGUCAUUGUCUGAUAUAACAAGCAAAAAUCAAAACUUUCAACAACGGAUCUCUUGGUUCUGGCAUCGAUGAAGAACGCAGCGAAAUGCGAUAAGUAGUGUGAAUUGCAGAAUUCAGUGAAUCAUCGAAUCUUUGAACGCACAUUGCGCCCUUUGGUAUUCCUUAGGGCAUGCCUGUUCGAGCGUCAUUUAAACCUUCAAGCUCAGCUUGGUGAUGGGUGACUGUCCCCUCCCUUCGCGGGGGGACUCGCCUCAAAAACAUUGGCGGCCGGUACAUUGGCUUCGAGCGCAGCAGAAACGCGGUCUCGAGCCCGGUGGAUCGGCUCCCAUAAGCCUCAUUCUUUAUUUUGACCUCGGAUCAGGUAGGGAUACCCGCUGAACUUAAGCAUAUCAAUAAGCGGAGGA
RNAcentral lists this ribosomal RNA (568 nucleotides) under Preussia sp. ATT024. RNAcentral describes it as "eukaryotic LSU rRNA". The stretch from base 198 to 351 matches the Rfam family "5.8S ribosomal RNA". The record is from RNAcentral. Lineage: Eukaryota; Fungi; Ascomycota; Dothideomycetes; Pleosporales; Sporormiaceae. RNAcentral also lists the same sequence under 1 other name.